Molecule: ribosomal RNA, 261 nt
Filed under: uncultured Anaerolineaceae bacterium
Lineage: Bacteria; Bacillati; Chloroflexota; Anaerolineae; Anaerolineales; Anaerolineaceae
Description: partial 16S ribosomal RNA
Rfam family: Bacterial small subunit ribosomal RNA
Source: RNAcentral
GUGUUACAAGUGUCACACGGAACUGCCGGUCAUAAACCGGAGGAAGGUUGGGAUGACGUCAAGUCAGCAUGGCCUUUAUAUCCUGGGCUACACGACACGCUACAAUGGGAAGGGAACAAUAGGUUGCGAAGCCGCGAGGCGGAGGCCAAUCCAGCAAAACUUCCCUCAGUUCAGAUUGCAGGCUGCAACCCGCCUGCAUGAAGUUGGAGUUGCUAGUAAACGCAGGUCAGCCAUACUGCGUUGAAUACGUUCCCGGGGCUU